CUCAGCCUCUGGGUAUUAAUCUGCUGAGCUGGUGGCCACCUAAAUACAAUCGUCCUGUUCCCCUCAUUGGUCUCUCCGGUCUCCUGAUUCCAGCCACAUUUUGGUGAGCCAGCCAGGAGUGAAGACGACAGGUUUGCUGUCUCCUUUGCCUGUGGGUCUGGGGCCCCAGCCUGGGGGAGACCCGUGACUCCAGGCAUGCUAUCAGGACAACUUCAACCCGAGGGGAGAUCAGCUCUCCCGCAACCUGGUGCCGCUCUCUGACAGCACAACAGAACCUAAGGGGCUACAGGAUGAUUCAAGGAACAGUGUGCUACAGGACCUCGAUGGGGUCUCGCUCUGUCCUGGAGUGCAAUGGCACGAUCUUGGCUCACUGCAACCUCCGCCUCCCAGGUUCAAGCAAUUCUCCUGCCUCAGCCUCCCGAGUAGCUGGGACUACAGGCACACGCCAACACGCCAGGCUAAUUUUUUGUAUUUUUAAUAGAGAUGGAGUUUCACCAUGUUCCCCAGGCUGGUCUUGAACUCCUGAGCUCAGGCAAUCCACCUUCCUCUGCCUCCCAAAGUGCUAGGAUUACAGGCGUGAGCCACCGCGCCCGGUCUAUUUAUUUU
This 606-nucleotide long non-coding RNA is filed under the name Homo sapiens (human). RNAcentral describes it as "PREDICTED lncRNA (TCONS_00277604)". Lineage: Eukaryota; Metazoa; Chordata; Mammalia; Primates; Hominidae. The record is from RNAcentral.